AAAAUGCGAUAAGUAAUGUGAAUUGCAGAAUUCAGUGAAUCAUCGAAUCUUUGAACGCACAUUGCGCCCGCCAGUAUUCUGGCGGGCAUGCCUGUUCGAGCGUCAUUUCAACCCUCAAGCUCAGCUUGGUGUUGGGACUCGCGGUAACCCGCGUUCCCCAAAUCGAUUGGCGGUCACGUCGAGCUUCCAUAGCGUAGUAAUCAUACACCUCGUUACUGGUAAUCGUCGCGGCCACGCCGUAAAACCCCAACUUCUGAAUGUUGACCUCGGAUCAGGUAGGAAUACCCGCUUAACUUAAGC
This 300-nucleotide unclassified non-coding RNA is filed under the name plant metagenome. RNAcentral describes it as "partial contains 5.8S ribosomal RNA, internal transcribed spacer 2, and large subunit ribosomal RNA". The stretch from base 1 to 105 matches the Rfam family "5.8S ribosomal RNA", at positions 50 to 154 of the family's 154-position model. The record is from RNAcentral.